AGCGUAGGCGGACUUUUAAGUGAGAUGUGAAAUACCCAGGCUCAACUUGGGUGCUGCAUUUCAAACUGGAAGUCUAGAGUGCAGGAGAGGAGAAUGGAAUUCCUAGUGUAGCGGUGAAAUGCGUAGAGAUUAGGAAGAACACCAGUGGCGAAGGCGAUUCUCUGGACUGUAACUGACGCUGAGGCUCGAAAGCGUGGGGAGCAAACA
RNAcentral lists this ribosomal RNA (207 nucleotides) under uncultured bacterium. RNAcentral's name for it is "partial 16S ribosomal RNA". It matches the Rfam family "Bacterial small subunit ribosomal RNA", at positions 568 to 774 of the family's 1533-position model. The record is from RNAcentral.